UACGAAGGGGGCUAGCGUUGUCCGGAAUUAUUGGGCGUAAAGAGCUCGUAGGCGGUCUGUCGCGUCUGCUGUGAAAACUCAGGGCUUAACCCUGAGCUUGCAGUGGGUACGGGCAGACUAGAGUGCGGUAGGGGAGACUGGAAUUCCUGGUGUAGCGGUGAAAUGCGCAGAUAUCAGGGGGAACACCGGUGGCGAAGGCAGGUCCCUGGGCCGUAACUGACGCUGAGGAGCGAAAGCAUGGGGAGCGAACAGG
RNAcentral lists this ribosomal RNA (253 nucleotides) under uncultured bacterium. Its description in RNAcentral is "partial 16S ribosomal RNA". It matches the Rfam family "Bacterial small subunit ribosomal RNA", at positions 524 to 776 of the family's 1533-position model. The record is from RNAcentral.